GAUGAACGCUGGCGGCGUGCUUAACACAUGCAAGUCGAACGGGAAAUAUUUCAUUGAGACUUCGGUGGUUUUGAUUUAUUUCUAGUGUCGGACGGGUUAGUAACUCGUUGGUAACCUGCCUUAUUCAUGGGGAUAACUGUCAGAAAUGGCUGCUAAUACCGCCUAAGCGCACAGAGCUGCAUGGCUCAGUGUUAAAAGCUCGGGUGGUAUAAGAUGGACCCGCGUUGGAUUAGCUCGUUGGUGGGGUAACGGCCCACAAAGGCGACGAUCCAUAGCCGGCAUGAGAGGGAGAACGGACACAAUGGGACUGAGACACGGCACAGACUACUACGGGAGGCAGCAGUGGGGAAUAUUGCACAAUGGGGGAAAGCCUGAUGAAGCGACGCCGCGUGAAGGAAGAAGUAUCUAGGUAUGUAAAGUUCUAUAAGCAGGGAAGAUAGUGACGGUACCGGAAUAAGAAGCCCCGGCUAACUACGUG
Molecule: ribosomal RNA, 478 nt
Filed under: uncultured bacterium
Lineage: Bacteria
Description: partial 16S ribosomal RNA
Rfam family: Bacterial small subunit ribosomal RNA
Source: RNAcentral